GCACAUGGACCCAUUGCUUGACACAUGGCGACAUUGUUUGUUAUUUGAAUUUAAAUUCAAACAUUAAGCAAUGUGUUAAAUGAUUUUAAUCACUCAAACCAUCAGCCAAGGUUAGGGCUGGAAGUGGGCUCGGGCCGGCCCGAAGCCCAUCGGGUCGGGCCGCCUGCGGGCCGGGCUAUGGGCUCGACCCAAUGAAUUUCGGGCCGGGCUCGGGCUGCAAACUUAAGCCCAAUUUUAUUUCGGGCCGGGCUCGGGUUUCCCAUUGGCCCGGCCUGGGCCCGGACCAAGCCCGAGCCCAAUGCCAGCCCGAAAUUGACCACGGUCCACAGCCCGAAUUGGGGAUUUUGUUAUACCGAGUCCCAUGCUCAUCUUCCCCAACCCCUCAAAAUCUCCUCUUUCCCCAGUCUAUAUCCGCUGUCUCUUCCCAGCCUUCCUCCCCUCUAAACCCUUCUCCUCCUCGUCCUCCUCUUCUUUCCCCACUCCAACCACAGCCCCAACUCCCACCCCCGAAGAAGACCUCGCCGGCCUCAUCCUUCAACAGAAGACUCCCUCCACCGCCCUUCGCAUCUUCCGAUGGGCCGCCCGCAUCCCCUCCUUCCCCGCCGCCUCCACCGCCCUCCUCCGCUCCUUCCUCUCCUCCGGUCGCCCCGUUGCCGCCCUCCGCCUCCUCUCCGCCCUCCCCUCCCCUCCUGACGACACCACUCUCAUCUCCCUCAUCCGCGCCCUCUCCCGCGCCGGCAACCCCCGCGGCGCCUUCCGCGUCCCCAACCUCCUCCGCCCCCACCGCUCCCCCUCCCUCCGCCUCUUCAACUCCGUCCUCGACGCCCUCGUCCAGCACGACAUCGACCUCGCCCGCAACUUCUUCCGCUGAAAAAUGGCAGCUUUCGGCGCCCGCGGCGACGAGCGCCCCUUCGGCAUCUUGAUGAAGGGCAGGUGGGGCGGCGGGUGUUGAAGGAGAUGGAUAGUAAAAGAGUUCUUCCCAAUGUGCACACCUACAAUUCCUUGAUCUCUGGGUUCUGUGAUUCGGGGAAGCUCGGCUUGGCUAUGGAGCUCUUUGAAGAGAUGAGGAUGGAUGGCAUCAGUCCAAAUUUUGAAACUUUUGAUGCACUGAUUCGAGGAUUGUGCUUUGGAGGGAGGGUCGCAGAUGGGUUGAAGGUUGUGAGCUUGAUGGAAGAGGAGAGAGGACAUGGAGACAACAUUAGUCCUUAUAAUAGUGUUCUAUACGGGCUUUACAAGGAAGGCAGCAUGUAAGAAGCCUUUGAGUUUCUUAACAGGAUGGCAAGCUCUUUUCCUAGAGCUGUUGACAGAAGCUUGAGGAUAUUGAGAUUCUGCCAGGAGAAUAAGGUUGGGGAGGCCAAGAUGGCCCAAACGGGCUCGGGCCGGGCUCAGGACGGGCUCGGGCCUCAUUCCUGUAAAAUUGUUCGGGCCUCGGCCCGGCCCGAAGCCCGGAAAAAAAUGUCGGGCCGGGCUUGGGUAGGGGUGUGGCCCGGCCCGGCCCGGCCCACUUCCAGCCCUAGCCAAGGUGGCGUAUGAGUUUUUGAAUGGAUUAAAUUCGAAUUUCAAGAGGUGAUUUCGAAAUUAUGAAGUGUUUUACCUUGCCGCAUGGAUUUCAAAUUCCUUCCCUCUUGCACAUGUGUUUAAAAUUUGAAUUUAAAUCAGAUUUGGUUGAGAUCUGAUUUGGGUUGCUCCUAUUCCUUUGCAUGUGCCAACUAAAAGAGGUUUUCUGAAAAUAAAUUUCGAAUUUUGAAUGAAAAUUCGGAGGCCAUUAAAAGGGGUCAAACAUGGGCACCAAAAACACAUC
This 1801-nucleotide long non-coding RNA is filed under the name Phoenix dactylifera (date palm). RNAcentral's name for it is "long non-coding RNA (PDAC_LNC009366)". Lineage: Eukaryota; Viridiplantae; Streptophyta; Magnoliopsida; Arecales; Arecaceae. The record is from RNAcentral.